Molecule: ribosomal RNA, 431 nt
Filed under: uncultured bacterium
Lineage: Bacteria
Description: partial 16S ribosomal RNA
Rfam family: Bacterial small subunit ribosomal RNA
Source: RNAcentral
AACGAACGCUGGCGGCAGGCUUAACACAUGCAAGUCGAACGCCCCGCAAGGGGAGUGGCAGCCGGGUGAGUAACGCGUGGGAACAUACCCUUUCCUGCGGAAUAGCUCCGGGAAACUGGAAUUAAUACCGCAUACGCCCUACGGGGGAAAGAUUUAUCGGGGAAGGAUUGGCCCGCGUUGGAUUAGCUAGUUGGUGGGGUAAAGGCCUACCAAGGCGACGAUCCAUAGCUGGUCUGAGAGGAUGAUCAGCCACAUUGGGACUGAGACACGGCCCAAACUCCUACGGGAGGCAGCAGUGGGGAAUAUUGGACAAUGGGCGCAAGCCUGAUCCAGCCAUGCCGCGUGAGUGAUGAAGGCCUUAGGGUUGUAAAGCUCUUUCACCGAUGAAGAUAAUGACGGUAGUCGGAGAAGAAGCCCCGGCUAACUUCGUG